AUUGAACGCUGGCGGCAGGCCUAAUACAUGCAAGUCGAGCGAACGAAGGAGGAUUGUGCUUGGCUUAAGUUGCGGACGGGCGGGUGAUGAAUAGGAAUCUAACCGGCCGAGGGGACUAGGGUAAGUUCAGGGAAGCUAAGCUAGUAUCGGUCAAGAGGGUGAACGUGAUGGUUCAUCGGACAUAAAGCUAUUAGCUGAGACUUAGACGGAGUACCUGGCCGGAUUAGCUAGUUGGUACGGUAACGGCUUACCAAGGCGACGAUGCGUAGCCGACCUGAGAGGGUGAUCAGCCACACUGGAACUGAGGCACGGUCCAGACUCCUACGGGAGGCAGCAGUAGGGAAUAUUCCGCAAUGGGCGAAAGCCUGACGGAGCAACGCCGCGUGAGUGAUGAAGGUCUUCGGAUCGUAAAACUCUGUUAUUAGGGAAGAACAAAUGUGUAAGUAACUAUGCACGUCUUGACGGUACCUACUCAGAAAGCCACGGCUAACUACGUG
RNAcentral lists this ribosomal RNA (497 nucleotides) under uncultured bacterium. Its description in RNAcentral is "partial 16S ribosomal RNA". It matches the Rfam family "Bacterial small subunit ribosomal RNA", at positions 30 to 507 of the family's 1533-position model. The record is from RNAcentral.